RNAcentral lists this ribosomal RNA (480 nucleotides) under uncultured soil bacterium. RNAcentral's name for it is "bacterial SSU rRNA". It matches the Rfam family "Bacterial small subunit ribosomal RNA", at positions 26 to 521 of the family's 1533-position model. The record is from RNAcentral.
AGGACGAACGCUGGCGGCGUGCUUAACACAUGCAAGUCGAGCGGUAAGGCCCUUUCGGGGGUACACGAGCGGCGAACGGGUGAGUAACACGUGAGCAAUCUGCCCUUCACUUCGGGAUAAGCCUCGGAAACGGGGUCUAAUACCGGAUAUGACCGCGCUACGCAUGUGGUGUGGUGGAAAGUUCUGGCGGUGGAGGAUGAGCUCGCGGCCUAUCAGCUUGUUGGUGGGGUAAUGGCCUACCAAGGCUUCGACGGGUAGCCGGCCUGAGAGGGUGACCGGCCACACUGGGACUGAGACACGGCCCAGACUCCUACGGGAGGCAGCAGUGGGGAAUAUUGGACAAUGGGCGAAAGCCUGAUCCAGCAACGCCGCGUGAGGGAUGACGGCCUUCGGGUUGUAAACCUCUUUCAGCGCCGACGAAGCGAGAGUGACGGUAGGCGCAGAAGAAGCACCGGCCAACUACGUGCCAGCAGCCGCGGU